RNAcentral lists this ribosomal RNA (253 nucleotides) under uncultured bacterium. Its description in RNAcentral is "partial 16S ribosomal RNA". It matches the Rfam family "Bacterial small subunit ribosomal RNA", at positions 524 to 776 of the family's 1533-position model. The record is from RNAcentral.
UACGAAGGGGGCUAGCGUUGCUCGGAAUCACUGGGCGUAAAGCGCACGUAGGCGGCUUCUUAAGUCAGGGGUGAAAUCCUGGAGCUCAACUCCAGAACUGCCUUUGAUACUGAAAAGCUUGAGUCCGGGAGAGGUGAGUGGAACUGCGAGUGUAGGGGUGAAAUUCGUAGAUAUUCGCAAGAACACCGGUGGCGAAGGCGGCGUUCUGGACUGCAACUGACACUGAAGAACGAAAGCCAGGGGAGCAAACGGG